UACGGAGGGUGCGAGCGUUAUCCGGAUUUAUUGGGUUUAAAGGGUCCGUAGGCGGACCUGUAAGUCAGUGGUGAAAUCUCAUAGCUUAACUAUGAAACUGCCAUUGAUACUGCAGGUCUUGAGUGAAUUUGAGGUAGCUGGAAUAAGUAGUGUAGCGGUGAAAUGCAUAGAUAUUACUUAGAACACCAAUUGCGAAGGCAGGUUACCAAGAUUCAACUGACGCUGAGGGACGAAAGCGUGGGGAGCGAACAGG
Molecule: ribosomal RNA, 253 nt
Filed under: uncultured bacterium
Lineage: Bacteria
Description: partial 16S ribosomal RNA
Rfam family: Bacterial small subunit ribosomal RNA
Source: RNAcentral